UACGAAGGGGGCUAGCGUUGCUCGGAAUCACUGGGCGUAAAGCGCACGUAGGCGGAUCGCUAAGUCAGGGGUGAAAUCCUGGAGCUCAACUCCAGAACUGCCUUUGAUACUGGCAAUCUCGAGUCCGGGAGAAGUGAGUGGAACUGCGAGUGUAGAGGUGAAAUUCGUAGAUAUUCGCAAGAACACCAGUGGCGAAGGCGGCUCACUGGCCCGGUACUGACGCUGAGGUGCGAAAGCGUGGGGAGCAAACAGG
RNAcentral lists this ribosomal RNA (253 nucleotides) under uncultured bacterium. RNAcentral describes it as "partial 16S ribosomal RNA". It matches the Rfam family "Bacterial small subunit ribosomal RNA", at positions 524 to 776 of the family's 1533-position model. The record is from RNAcentral.